AGCAGCGUGGGGAAGUGGUCUAUCCCGUCUGGCUCAUAACCAGAAGAGCGGCGGUUCGAAUCCGCCCGCUGCAACCA
This 77-nucleotide transfer RNA is filed under the name Nitratireductor rhodophyticola. RNAcentral's name for it is "Nitratireductor sp. L1-7-SE tRNA-Met". It matches the Rfam family "tRNA". From Rfam's summary of the family: Transfer RNA (tRNA) molecules are approximately 80 nucleotides in length. Their secondary structure includes four short double-helical elements and three loops (D, anti-codon, and T loops). Lineage: Bacteria; Pseudomonadati; Pseudomonadota; Alphaproteobacteria; Hyphomicrobiales; Phyllobacteriaceae. The record is from RNAcentral.